GGGCGACUUCGGGGUGGGGGGCUUCCGGCUAAGUGUGGAGUCUCGAUUCCUUACAAGAUUAGCCCCUCUACUAACUGCGCCAAGGUGAAUUGAUGGAUGGAAGCAGGGAAAUCAAGUCGAGGCUUAUAAAUGAUAUAAAUAAUGUUGGGUCAUGAGAUAUGUCUUUGUUUGGUUGAGUGAAUGCGAUGAGCCUAUUAUUGUAGUAUAGCUUUGCCUUGUCUGCAGCAUGAAUAAUGUUGGUGAUUGAUCGGAGAAGAAAUUUCUCCCUUCUGAGUAAUUUAAUUAUUACUGUGUUUUGAGGUAUC
This is a long non-coding RNA of Asparagus officinalis (garden asparagus), 305 nucleotides long. RefSeq lists it as uncharacterized. The transcript is spliced from 2 exons. The record is from RefSeq and is a predicted model, not a curated record. NCBI's taxonomy places the organism in Eukaryota, Viridiplantae, Streptophyta, Magnoliopsida, Asparagales, Asparagaceae.